Molecule: non-coding RNA, 1001 nt
Filed under: Pan troglodytes (chimpanzee)
Lineage: Eukaryota; Metazoa; Chordata; Mammalia; Primates; Hominidae
Source: RNAcentral
AGAUGAAAACCGGGCGGGAUGGCAGCCCACGGGCCAGGGAUGCGGGAGCCGCCGGGAAGACCCGCGCGCCGCUCGACUCGGAGGGACUCACACCUUCCCCCGACAAAGAGGCGGCCCCACUGUCGACCAAGUGCCCAAGGCAUUGUGGGAGUCAUGAUUCCAAGAUGCCCGCGACGGAAAAUGGAACUUGUCAGCUCCUUGUCAUGGGAGCAUUGUGGGCGCCACAACUCAUUCAGCUGCAGUGAAAAGACUGUUGCAUGUCGCUGUGCAGCCUCUUAUCGCCGAGGUCUGGCUUCCGCUGCUGCUGCGCGGCCCCUCCCCCGCCCGCCCAGCCCCACCAGGAAGCCCAGGGCGGACUCGUCGAGCUCCUAAUGCACGCGGCGGCGAGAAAAACGCUCUUCAACUUUCCGCCGGCGCCCUCCCGCGCUUCCCCGGGCCACAGGGUCGCCUGUCAACCGGACAGAGCCCGCAAGAGCGGGUCAUGGGCGGUCGCCCCGCGGCGCCGAGAGCAGGAGGAAGCCGGAGCCCGCGCGGGCGCCGUGGAUCCCCUCGGCCUCCCGUUGGUAUCUUCCAUCUCAUGCGUUCAGCAUUGUAACCUCGCGGCGGGCGUGCAGACCGGACGCCCUCCCGCUUCUUCUACCGACUGCUGGGCACACCAGUGGGUUCAUUUUGAAAGAGGCCCUUGCACCGGGCUUUGCAAGGAAGCCGGCAAGGUUAGAUUGAAGGUUAGAAGCCAAUUAGACUAGAAUCCUGCGAUCUGGUGAGACUGCCGCCUUAAAAUGCACCAAACAGUUUUUGAACCUGGAGGGCUAACAGGCGGGAAAAACAUCUGCAAGACUGCCACCGUGUAUUUUUCUCAAGUAACAGGCUAUCCACAGUUUUGGAAUUCGUUAGUGAAACUGUCACACAAGCACAAACACUCACAUGUCAGCUUUCCUUCUAGUUUGUAAAUAAUAUUUGUAAUUUACAGGCCACUGUAUUCCCAACUUUGCACCAUGUGA